This 383-nucleotide ribosomal RNA is filed under the name uncultured eukaryote. Its description in RNAcentral is "partial 18S ribosomal RNA". It matches the Rfam family "Eukaryotic small subunit ribosomal RNA", at positions 592 to 976 of the family's 1831-position model. The record is from RNAcentral.
CAAUAGCGUAUAUUAAAGUUGUUGCAGUUAAAAAGCUCGUAGUUGGAUUUCUGGUGGGAGCGAUCGGUCUGGCGCUUAGCGCGAGUACUUGCAUCGUCUCCGGCCAUCCUUGGGGGAAGUCUGUCUGGCAUUAAGUUGUCGGGCAGAGGAUCCUCAUCGUUUACUGUGAAAAAAUUAGAGUGUUCAAAGCAGGCUUAUGCCGUUGAAUAUAUUAGCAUGGAAUAAUAAGAUAGGACUUUGGUACUAUUUUGUUGGUUUGCGCACCAAAGUAAUGAUUAAUAGGGACAGUUGGGGGUAUUCGUAUUCCGUUGUCAGAGGUGAGAUUCUUGGAUUUACGGAAGACGAACUACUGCGAAAGCAUUUACCAAGGAUGUUUUCAUUAA